This 497-nucleotide ribosomal RNA is filed under the name uncultured bacterium. Its description in RNAcentral is "partial 16S ribosomal RNA". It matches the Rfam family "Bacterial small subunit ribosomal RNA", at positions 28 to 507 of the family's 1533-position model. The record is from RNAcentral.
GAUGAACGCUGGCGGCGUGCCUAAUACAUGCAAGUCGAGCGAACAGACGAGGAGCUUGCUCCUCUGACGUUAGCGGCGGACGGGUGAGUAACACGUGGAUAACCUACCUAUAAGACUGGGAUAACUUCGGGAAACCGGAGCUAAUACCGGAUAACAUGUUGAACCGCAUGGUUCAACAGUGAAAGACGGUCUUGCUGUCACUUAUAGAUGGAUCCGCGCCGCAUUAGCUAGUUGGUAAGGUAACGGCUUACCAAGGCAACGAUGCGUAGCCGACCUGAGAGGGAGAUCGCACACCCGGGAACUGAGACACGGCCCAGACUCCUACGGGAGGCAGCAGUAGGGAAUCUUACGCAAUGGGCGAAAUCCUGACGGAGGAACGCCGGGGGAGGGAAGAAGGUCUUCGGAUCGUAAAACUCUGUUAUUAGGGAAGAACAAAUGUGUAAGUAACUAUGAACGUCUUGACGGUACCUAAUCAGAAAGCCACGGCUAACUCCGUG